Long non-coding RNA from Lolium perenne, 873 nucleotides. RefSeq lists it as uncharacterized. Lineage: Eukaryota; Viridiplantae; Streptophyta; Magnoliopsida; Poales; Poaceae. The record is from RefSeq and is a predicted model, not a curated record.
CUCGUGCAGCGCAGGUGUGCAUUUUUUGGACCUAUCAAUCAAUUAAAUGAGCACCUGAAGUGUGUUCGUCAGACAUGGCAUGUUUUAGCUCAUUGGGAAACUGAUACGACAUAUAUUUUGGACUGGAUAUAUGGGGUCUAGCUUUGCAAUUUUCGUUACAUCAGAUUCAGUAAGGGUACAUACACAUUUCAAGGCUUCACUUUUUGUUCAAGGCAUCAAGUUUCCUAUCCCUUUUGCAUUGGUGUUUUUGGUGCCUAAGAAAUUUAGAUGGUUGACCUUGAAGCACAGUACUCUUUUGCCGAAACGGUUUGCUGGUUCAUGCGUAAUUUAUCCUCCCAUGCUCUUGCAUUUUUUGAUACAUGUAUAACUGCCUAACAUUUUCUUUGAUUGUUCUUUUUCUCCAGGUUCCACUCUCUGGUCGAAGAAUUUUAUUUUCUGUUCCUUCUUAUGUUCGAGUUUUUUGGUGCCUAGAAUGUUUAGUUGACUGACCCUGAAGUGGAUGGUCUUCAUCCUAGAUCAGUGACGGAUUGACCUUGGCACAUCACAAUGAAGUGUUUCCUACCCAUACACCAUCCCCAUAGCGUGGUUCCACACAGUUAUCUGGAACUAAAUGUGAGUGAAACGAGAGACAGCGUUCGCACCCUGCCUGAUAAGAUGAAAACCAAAUGCCGACGGCUUGAUGUGGCUAUAAAUGCUGAUACAGUCCUAUAUGAUGUGUUUUCUACCUAGAUGCUUAUGUGGAACAAGGGUAUAAUCAGGGAAUUAACUUCAAAUGACUGUAAAUAGCAUCUGCAAAUUUCAGUGCUUAAGUUACCUUCAGAAGUUGGUGCAAUUGUGAAAUUAUUUUAUUUAGUAUAAAUCGUUUUGUUGCUA